This 227-nucleotide unclassified non-coding RNA is filed under the name uncultured fungus. RNAcentral's name for it is "partial contains 18S rRNA, ITS1, 5.8S rRNA, ITS2 and 28S rRNA". Lineage: Eukaryota; Fungi. The record is from RNAcentral.
AAGGAUCAUUACCGAGUGCGUUAGUUAAUUCUGACUCCUCCCACCCUUGUUUUCAAACAGCCGAAAAGCAGCUUCGGCGGACCGUUUGGCAUUGUUCAGACGCCGGCUCCCUCUCCGGGGAGCGGGUCCGCGUCCGCCGGAGGAACCCGACUCUUGAUGUGAUUUAUGAAGUCUGAUAAACAUAAACAAAUAAGUUAAAACUUUCAACAACGGAUCUCUUGGUUCUG